Lolium rigidum is the source of this 330-nucleotide long non-coding RNA. RefSeq lists it as uncharacterized. The transcript is spliced from 3 exons. NCBI's taxonomy places the organism in Eukaryota, Viridiplantae, Streptophyta, Magnoliopsida, Poales, Poaceae. The record is from RefSeq and is a predicted model, not a curated record.
UCCAUUUGACUGAGCCAUGUUGGUAUCCUGGUACAUUGAGUUUGAUACCUUCACUCCUGCAGCCAAGAGAGGGCUGCCAGUCGCAAGGAUUAUGAGACACAUGCUCCCGCAGGCGAUUCUUGCUUGUGCGAUUGACGAUGAAUCGAUAAUACUAUAAUGAGCAAUCACCAUGUAGUCGAUUUUACAGACGAUGGCAACAAGGUGAAUGAACAGGUUACUGCCAUACUGGAGGAUGGGCGGAAAUUUUUAAGGUGAUCUUUUGGUUGGUGCAGAUGGCAAGGUACCAUGUGUUCCUUGAUCACAAACAAUAUUUCGUCCCCUCGGAUGUUG